This 32683-nucleotide long non-coding RNA is filed under the name Nicotiana tabacum (common tobacco). Its description in RNAcentral is "long non-coding RNA (NTAB_LNC004996)". Lineage: Eukaryota; Viridiplantae; Streptophyta; Magnoliopsida; Solanales; Solanaceae. The record is from RNAcentral.
UUUUUUUUUUUUUUUUUUUUUUUUGCUUUUUUCAAUUUACUUUAAAACUGUUUGAUUUUAUAUUGGACUAACUUUUUAAAAGAAAUUGAAGAGUAGUUUUUCAUACUGUGACCAGAUUUUUUCACUUACAAAAUUACAACUUUUUAAACAAAAGGUUUUCACUGUUCGACAGUGAAAGAGGCGGCGAGAGAAAAGGGGCACGAUUUGAUAGUGGCUGAUAAAUUAAUGCAUUAGAGAAAUAUGGCGUCCUCACGUUAUUAAUGAUGAUGCUAUUGCCCUCGAAAAGGCAAAAGGCAAAUGAACCACUUGAGAGAAACAACAAAAGUUGGAAAACGUAAAAGGCCUUGGGGAGACCACAAUCCUGUAUAAUAAUUCAUGUCACGGAUCUGUUGACCCUGAUACCCCAAAUCUGACGAAUCCUCAUAGUCAUUAUAUUUUAUUAUUCAUAUAUUUUUGUUUAAUUUUUAUAAUACUUAAUUCUUCCUUCAUUUUCUUUUAAUUCAUGGACAAAAAAACGGUAUAUGUCAGAAUACCAUUUUCCUUCUCACAACAUUCCUGAUUUUCACAGCAGCAGAAAAACAAAUAAAAUAGUCGUAAGCAGUGAGCGCAGAAGCGCUAAGGAGUUCCCCCACAAAACUCGCUAAUUUUGGUUUGACCACAAAAUUAGAAACGCUAUAUACAUAUACGCCUACUGAUCAGCAAAAAUUACAGGUGGUGGAUCAUUGUUGCUACCGAAUGUUAUAAUAUUUGAUCUUACAUUACUGUUACAGACCUUGGUUUAUCUUUCAAAUAUCCAAACACGUGCGGGACAAACAUUGGAGACGUGUGGGUUUCCUAUAAACUUCUUCUUAGCACCUUCUUUUGUUAAUGCAUCCGUCGUCACUUGCUCUGUUCCCUGAAGAAUGAAGAUGUGCCUGAGCGUCGGUUUCCCAAGUUUUGCAUUAGCUGCCUACGUUCAUUAAUAAUUUUUGUAUGAUUAUUUGUAUUAUCUCAGUUGAGUCUGUGGCUAUUUUCAGAGGUGUAAGAUUUUGUUGAGCCAUAAUUUUAAGUUCUUGCAUGAGAGCUAUUAGUUUAGCCUAUUUGUUAGUCGUGUUUACUUUUAAACUGGAUAACAAUUGAAUUUGUACGCGGUUUUAAGAAUACGUGGAUUGAUUCAACACAAGUAAUCAAGAAUGUUAGAUAAACGAAUUAAAGAUGAGAUAGAUAACCAAACUAGUUUUGACUUUGAGUCCGGGUUCGGAUUUUAGCUCAACAAUAGUUUUGCCCUCGACUGGAUCCCUCGAUUCGAAGCCAAAUACAUAUGAAGAACUAUGAUUAAAAUAAGAACCUUUCAAUAGCUAGAAAGCAGAGAAGUUAUUUUUGUAUUGCUUUGAUAUGCGUAUUACAAUGUGUAUUGAAUGAAUAAGCUUUCCCUUUAUAUAGUAGGAGAGUUUCAUCUCUAGUACAACUCUAAAAAAGGUAAAAACAUCCUCAUUUCUUGUCAAUUACUGAUAUGCUACCGACGUCGGACGAGAUUCGCGCUGUGAUAUCUAGUUGGGUGUGGAUAUCACGGCUUUCUGUUAGUCAUGUGCAACUGUGCGUAGUGCUUUUCGAGGUUUAGGAGUUCGCUUUAGGUCCAGGGAGUGUUGUGUUGGCGAACACUCCGUUCGGCCCCUGGUACGAGAAGUCCCCGGCUUCGAUUUUGAUCCCAGGCAGUCAUGUCUUCGCUUCAUUUGACCCACUGGGAAAUCGGGGUAUAUGUUACCCCCUGUUUUACCCGUAUAUAGAUAGUCCCCUCAUUUUCCAGAGAGUAGGUUUGCCGAAACGAUGGAAGACGAUAGAUGAACCCUGGUUCCUUCCUUUGCACGUUUCAUCCGAUAUGGCGGAUAAGCCGAAACGUCCCAUCAGUCGCGUCGUUUUGACUUCGGACACGUGUCGGUCAACGGAUGGUCGCCUUCGAAUACGAAACGUCGCGAAUUUCCCCCUAUAAAAGCUUCGCCCCCUUCACUUCCUUCACUUUAUGAUCCUAGUUUUUACCUUCGAACUCUACAAAGGCUUUCGUCUUUCUUGAAUCUUCAUACCUUAUUUCCUGAACCUUCAUAUCUUCAUCUUCAACCUCCAACCUUCAUACAUUUUCUUGGAUUUUCAACCCAGAACCUCAUAUCUUCACUUUCAAACUUCAAAUCUUCAUACACUCUCUCCAAAUCUUCAUAUAUUUUCCAGAUUUACAAUGGCCAAGACAUCUAAAUCAGUUCCACAGCAGGCUGCCUCUUUAUCUACUCACCCGGCCACAGGUACUGAGGCAACUGUCCCCGAAGUGGUUGUUCUCAAUACGGCUGCUCCCGAAGUGGAUGCCGCCGAAGAGGCCCCUAAGCCCCCCAUGAAAAGUUUUAUUCCCCGGGGUUGUUCAAUCACAGACGACUUCAAAGUCGAGAAGGCUUCAUCUAAACAAGACCGAGGUGAAGGGGCGUCGAGAUAUAUAUGCUCUGUCACCGAAGAUACCCUUCCCAUUGUUCGAGAGGACUGUAACUGGGGAGGUAAGGACGUGGUAGUCCCCAGGCCUGAGGAUGAUAUCACCAGUCAUGUGGAUGGGUAUUUAAGUGUUUACACUUAUCCCUUCACACUGGGCGCCUGGUAGACCCAAUUGUUUUGGCCUUUUGCAAGAGACACGAGGUGUGUCUUGGGAAAAUCCACCCGUCUUUGUGGAGGAUCGUGAUUCUCCUUCGUUAAUUUGUUAAUAACACAGAGUCUCAUCGGUUCACCCUCGACCACCUGCUCCGCCUAUAUAAUUCUCGAAUUUUUCGAGGGGGGCUAAUAAAGCUCACUCGCCGGGCCAUCAAGGCCCCUAUUCGAGCAUCGACGAAAAUCAAGACCGAGUCUGGCAGGGGCGCUUUGUUCAGGUGAAGAGUGAAGAUUUGAUCCCUUCUGAGUUUCUGCCAUUCCCUAAGAAGUGGAAUGCAUCUCGUAAGUGUAAUCUUUCCUUAAGCGUCGAGUCUUCUUUGUUCCAUUUCUCACCAUCAGUGUUUGUGAUUGUGCAGCUGCUACUUGGGUUCCUAAUGCGGUCUCCCGGCUCAAGGAGUGGAUCGAGGACAUCUCCAAACAAAUAUUGUAUUUUGAGUGCUCGUGGUGCAAGCUUUCGAAGGGCCGAUGGGAGGCCCGUUCUCAUGGUAGGACACUUCUUAGAAUAGUUAUUUUUACUCCCCAAACUUAUAUAACGCUGACCCCUUCUUUUUCCUUCGCAGGUUUGCCUAAGACCACCGAACUUAGGUCGCUGAUGUGUGGCUAUAAUUCAUGGUUUAGCACACUAUUCGCCUUGCAUUUUGUACGCUUUAAUGAUAAAUUACACUUUAUUUACUCGUAAUGAAGUCCAUUUUAUGUGUAGGUGAAUUGAAGAUGAAAGUAGAGCAAAAAAGAUACUUAAAAGUCGAAAGCGUACUGGGGAGCAGUUGAAAAUGAGAAGCUGGCGAAGCCAGGCCUACACCAGGCAUUAUACCUGGCGUCGCCAAGCUUGUAGCUGGCGAGAUACCUGGCGAGGCGGGCAGAAGGCGAGAUUGACCGGGCCUUAUACCUGGCGACGCCAGGCCUGGGGUGAGGUCUACCAGGCAUUAGGCCUCGUGAGGCCAGUUCUGGGCGUGCACAGUCUGAGUUUUGAAGACUUAUUUCGUCUCCGGGUUUGACUAGGACUUUGCCUACACGUUUAGGUCUUUUCCUACACAUAAAUAGACCUAAAACGCCACUUUUGAGGACUUUUGCAACCGGAGUCAAGAAUAGCUUAUGGAAUCACCUAUUGGGAGUUAGAAUCAUCGAUUUCUACAUCCUUUCAUCUUUACUUUGUAAUUUAAUUAUGCAAAAUAUUUGGAAUAUUGUUACUCUGAGUAUGAGUAGCUAAAUUCCUAGUCUAAGGUUUUGAUGGAACCUAUUAAAUGAUGAUUUUCUUGUUACGUUAAUAUAAAUUUGCCGUAGUAUUUUCUCUAUUUGUUCAACUACAUUAUUCAUGUGGUUGAUUGAAGGGCCCUCAAUUAGCUGUGCCUAUUUAGUAUGUAUUACUCGGGAGAGAGUGCAUAUUUAGGUAGUUGUUGAACAACAUCACUCCUAACGUAUAUGAGGGAUCAAUACGAAGGGUUUAAAGGUGGGAUUAGGGAUAACAAAAUCUUGGUGCGAUCUGAGUGAGCCGUACUUAAUGCCAGCUAGCGUAAUUCUGCAAAAUAUGUCUAGUAAAUUGUGGUAAUUACUUGGGAGAGAGUUACGACAGCCAUAGUACUCAUGAUCGAUAGAGAAGAAUUAGGCGAAUCUAUAGAAAACAUAGCGUACAAGAUUCCGACAAUAGGGGAAAUCACAACCUUAGAUCAUUCCAAUUCUUGUUUACAAACCGUUCAUAGUUAGUUAUUUAUUAUUGCAUUUUCAUUACGUAAUAUUUAGUUAAUAAACUUCCAAAUUGUUAUUGAAAUAUUUCUGAAGAUUGAUUGCAUGAAUUUGUGAGAGUCUAGCAGUUGUGGUUGAUAGGUUAAUUCCCUAUGGGAUUCGAUUCCGGACUUAUUAGCCGGAAUAUAUUUGCGACGAUCGCAUAGUCCUUUUUAUAAGGCAUAGUCGAGCAUGAUCAAAUUUUGGCGUCAUUGCCGGGGAAUUAACGGUGUUAUUAAUUGCAGCUAAAAGAAGUGCUAGAAUUCUUAGUGUAGUCAAUUUUCUUCAUUCUAAAUCAAAUACAUUGAAAUUCUAACGUUUGUAGUCUUGGGUGUUACAAGUGCAUGCCUAGGAACUCCUCAAGAACUGGUGAACUGCUCGAAGCAUUAUCAGAUCCUGAGAAAGUUUUCAAGGCACUAAAUUGUGCAAACAAGAAAAACAAACAGCAAUAAAACAUGACAGAACAAAUCUAACCAGAUAUGAAUGACGGAAUAGAAAAUCCAAUGAACAACAGAAACAAUGCGAAUGAACCAAACAAUCAGGGUGAGGUGCCUCCUGUACCAGAAGCAGCAUUAUAUAUUAUUGGGCACAACCCACCGCCGACAAUCUGGCAACCGCAAUUGCAAUCCCUCAACUAUAAGCGGGAUCAUUUCAAAUCACAAACAACAUGCUACAUUUGUUGCAGAACAUGGGACUCUUCUCAGGGUCACAUAUUGAAGAUCCUCAGCAGCAUCUGAAGAAUUUCCUGUCGAUAUGUGUCACGCAAAGGCAACCUAAUGUGACACCGGACGCAAUAAAGCCGUUAUUGUUCCCAUUCUCGGUGAUAAGAGAAGCUCAGACCUGGAUUAAUUCACUCCCCAUAAACUCCAUCACUACUUGGGAGGAAUUAGUCAAGCAAUUUUUGAACAAAUUCUUCCCACCCAAUAAAACUGCCCAACAAAUUAAUGAUAUAUUGAGCUACAGGCAGAGACCAACAGAAUCACUACAAGAAAUGUGGGAUAGGUUCAAGGGUAUGCUGGUUAAGUGUCCACAUCAUGGCAUUCCAUAUCAGAUGUUGGGGCAGAGAUUCUACUUGGAACUGGCUGACGGCUUAAAGGCUAAUGUUGAUGCUUCAGCAGGUGGAGCAUUUUUGAGUAAAACAUUCAGAGAAUGCAAGAUCCUACUUGAUAAGAUGGCUUAAAACUCAAGAUGGAUGACAAGAGCCUCUAUGAUCACUCCGGUAGUUCACUCAGUGACUUUGGACCCAAACAACUCCAUAGCUGAGAAUAUGGCCACUCUAAUGACACAAAUACGUAUCCUCACCAAGAAGAUUGAUAAAUCAGGCCAGAAGUAGCAGGUUCACAUAGUUGACGCAACUAAUGGGGGCUCAUGUACACCAUGCAUUAACCAACCAUAUGUUUGUUCGUGGAGUGCGGAAGGUGACAACCAACACUAUCAAGGAGAUAUGAAUUAUGUAGCCAACUAUGGGGGACAGAGGCAAGGUGGUCAGAAUUGGGGUCAACAGAAUCAACAAUAUAGACCAGCGCAGCAGCAGUACAAUAACAACAACAAUCCUAGAACUAUGCGACCAUUGGGUCAAGUUAUGCCUUACCAAAGGCAACAGGGUUACAACCAGCAAAAUCAGCAGCUGACUUAUCAACAACCUCAAUAACAACAGAUUAUGAGACAAGAUGAUGGUUUUACUGAACUUAAGGGAAUGCUGGACAGCAACAACAGAAUGCUGCAACAACUGAUUGGGUCCACGGGAAAAAUGCAUCAGAGAGUAGACUCACAUGAAUCAGCGAUAAAGGGUAUUGAGAUUCAAUUAGGACAGAUUUUUAUGGCUCUAAACAAUCGUCCCCAAGGGACGUUACCUGCAGACACACAAAUCAAUCCAAAAGAACAGGGCCUAAAACAGCUUAUGGCAGUGAGUCUACGAAAUGGUAGAGACCUAGAUCUGGAGCAAGAGAUGGCUCGCGAAAGCCGACCUACUGAUACACUUGUGCCAGUACCCAUUGAGAUAGAUGAUUCAACAGGGUUGACAGAGGUGAAGGUACAAUACGCGCCAGCUGAAUCAAGCAAAGAAAAAGAAGUCCCGAAGGAAAAUGAGUCAGUGCAAGAGAAGGCAGUAGAAACAGUGCCAGAGCUGGUUCAAAAUCAAAUCACAGGAAAAAAGUGGCAUCCAUCACCCUUCCCCCAGAGAUUGGACAAAUAUCAAAAAUAUGAGCAGUAUAAGAAAUUCUUGGAGAUGUUGAAACAAAUUCAGGUUAACAUUCCAUUGAUUGACGCCUUAAAGGAAAUGCUUGGUUAUGCAAAAAUGAUGAAGGACUUGAUGUCUCGUAAGUUCGAAUUUCAAGACUUGGCCACGGUUACACUGACUCAGACAUGUAGUGUUGUUGUGACGAGACCUAUAGCUGAGAAGUUAUCUGAUCCAGGGAGUUUCAUAAUCCCACGCACAAUAGGCAACUAUGCAUUUGCUAAGGCACUUUGUGAUUUGGGGCAAGCAUAAACUUGAUGCCCUUGGUAUCUAUAAAAGGUUAGGCAUUGGAAGAGCUAGACCCAUGUCCAUGUUACUACAGCUGGCCAACCGGACAGUGAAGAGGCCCUCUGGUAUCCUUGAUGAUGUAUUAGUACAGGUUGGGAAGUUUGUGUUCCCAGCAGAUUUUGUCAUUCUAGACUGCCGGAUUGAUGAGGAGAUUCCUAUAAUUUUGGGAAGACCAUUCUUGGCCACUGGGAGAGCUUUAAUCGAUUGUGAGACUGGAGAGCUCAAAAUGAGACUAAAUGAUGAAGAAAUAACAUUCAACGUGUAGAAAUCUAUGCGGCGACCAAGUGAAUUUGCUAACUGCUCUCUAAUAGAAGCCGUGGAUGUAAUUUUGGAGGAGGAAGAUGAAACCUUGAAUGCUAAAGACCCUCUACCAGCUUGUCUCUUGAACAUAGAUAAAGUAAAUGGAGAGGAGGUGACGAAAUGGGUGCUGGCUCUUAAAGGCCAAGGGUUUAGGAAAAGAGAGCUCGAAUAUGAGCCUUUGCACUUAGAAGAAUGAAAAAUUCCUCCAGCUAAGCCAUCGAUAGAAGAGCCACCAAAGUUGGAGCUGAAGCUGCUACCACCUCACCUUAGGUAUGCUUUCUUGGGACCUAACUCAACUUUACCUGUUAUUAUCUCAUCUGGUUUGUUAGAUGUGCAGAAACAAUAGCUUUUGCAGGUAUUGAGUGAGUGCAAAACUAUAAUUGGUUGGACCAUCGCAGACAUUAAGAGUAUCAGCCCGACCUUCUGUAUGCAUAAGAUUCUACUGGAAGAUGGCCACAAACCUUCCAGAGAACAUCAAAGGAGGCCGAACCCCAACAUGAAGGAAGUUGUGAAAAAAGAGGUGAUAAAGUGGUUAGAUGCGGGAAUCAUUUUCCCCAUCUCCGACAGCAACUGGAUCAGCCCAGUCCAAUAUAUGCCUAAGAAUGGUGGGAUGCAUGUAGUGCAAAACGAGAACAAUGAGUUGAUAUCAACAAGAACAGUCACGGGAUGGCGAAUUUGUAUGGACUACAGAAGAUUGAACAAGGCCACCCGAAAAGACCAUUUCCCCUUGCCAUUCAUUGAUCAAAUACUAGAUAGAUUGGCGGGGAAGUCCCGCAUUUGCUUUCUAGAUGGAUACUCAGGGUAUAAUCAAAUCUCCAUUGCCCCGGAAGAUAGAGAGAAAAUAUCAUUCACCUGUCUAUAUGGCGUCUACGCCUUUCGGAGGAUGUCGUUCGGCCUAUGCAAUGCACCCGCCACAUUUCAAAGGUACAUGAUGGCCAUCUUCACUGAUAUGGUUGAGGACAUCAUGGAGGUAUUUAUGGAUGAUUUCUCGGUGGUGGGAGACUCAUUCAAUGAUUGCCUAAGGAAUUUGAAAAGAGUGCUGAAAAGAUGUGUCGAGACGAAUCUGGUACUCAACUAGGGAAAGUGCCAUUUCAUGAUACAUGAAGGUAUAGUCUUGGGGCACCUAGUGUCGAGUAAGGGCAUUGAGGUAGAUCGUGCCAAGGUUGAUGUGAUCGAAAAGCUUCCACUACCCGCGUCCGUUAAAGCAAUAAAAAGUUUCCUAGGCCAGGCCGACUUCUAUAGAAGAUUUAUAAAAGAUUUUUCCAAAAUUGCUAACCCCUUGUGUAAAUUUCCUGAAAAAGAUCACCCUUUUGUGUUUUUUGAUGAUUGCAGGGUAGCUUUUGAGGAAUUGAAGAAGAGGCUGGUGAUAGUACCCAUCAUGGUUGCACCUGAUUGGGAGCAACCAUUUGAGCUAAUGUGUGACGUAAGUGACUAUGCUAUGGGAGCACUACUUGGACAACGCAAAGAUAAAGUCAUGCAUCCAAUAUAAUAUGCUAGUAGAACUUUGAGUGGUGCCCAACUAAAUUACACGUUGACUGAGAAAGAGAUGCUAGCAGUGUUGUUCGCAUUUGACAAAUUUAGGUCAUACCUGAUAGGCUCUAAGGUAAUUGUUUAUACUGACCAUAAUGCUCUCAGGUACUUAAUUGAUAAGAAGGAUUCAAAGCCGCGCCUGAUUCGAUGGGUGCUACUACUGCAAUAAUUUGACUUGGAAAUCCGUGACCGAAAGGGAACAGAGAACCAAAUGGCUGAUCACUUGUCCAGGCUGGAAGGAGCCGAGAAGAAGGUUGACGUGGAAGAGAUUGUGGAGACCUUCCCGGAUGAAAAACUACUAGCCACGAGUCUUGAGGUAGCGCCAAGGUAUGCAGACAUUGAAAACUACCUAGCAAGCGGUAUUGUCCCCUAUGACCUUUCUUCUAUUCAAAAGAAAAAGUUCUUUCGCGACUGUCGCAUGUAUUAUUGGGAUGAGCCUUAUCUGUUCAGAAUUUGUGUUAAUAACAUGAUCCGGAGGUGUAUCCCCGAGAUAGACUAAUCUUCUAUUUUGCAGGCGUGUCACGCGUCACGCGUCACUAUAUGGUGGCCAUUUCGGGGGAGUAAGGACAGCUGCGAAAGUCUUGGAUUCGAGCUUCUACUGGCCGACAUUGUUCAAAGAUGCACACUUAUGGGUGAAAGUUUGUAAUGAAUGCCAAUGAAUCGGGAAUAUUUCCCGCCGACAUGAGAUGCCUAUGAACCCAAUUCAGGAGGUAGAAGUAUUUGAUGUAUGGGGAAUCUAUUUCAUGGGGCCUUUCAUCAACUCAUAUGGCAACAAGUACAUACUCGUAGCUGUGGACUACGUGUCCAAAUGGGUAGAGGCUGCAGUGCUCCCUACAAAUGAUGCAAAUGGGGUAAUUGGUUUCUUGAGAAAGAAUAUAUUCACCCGAUUUGGCACUCCAAGGGUAAUAAUCAGUGACGGAGGCACUCACUUCUGUAAUCGAGACUUCGCAAAGUUGUUAGAAAAGUAUGAUGUACGCCACAAGUUCGCCACCCCAUACCAUCCACAAAUGAGUGGGCAAGUGGAAGUUUCGAACAGAGAGUUAAAAAGCGUUUUUAACAAAGACUGUGAAUGCUACAAGAACGGAUUGGGCGAGAAAGCUAGAUGAUGCACUCUGGGCCUAUCGUACCACUUUUAAAACUCCGAUUGGCAUGUCGCCAUAUAAAUUAGUGUUUGGGAAGGCGUGUCACUUACCAGUGGAGUUGGAGCAUAGAGCUUUGUGGCAUUGAGGCAGCUUAAUCUUGAUAUAGAAGUUGCAGGUACAAGUAGAGUCACAGAGUUGCACGAGCUUGAUGAGUUUUGCUACCAUGCUUUUGAGAGCACAAGAUUAUACAAGGAGAGAAUAAAAAUGAUGCAUGAUAAAAAUAUUCUUGAGCAGAGUUUUAAACCCGGAUAUAUGGUAUUGCAAUACAAUUCAAGAUUGAGGUUAUUUUCGGGUAAAUUAAAGUCAAGAUAGUUAGGACCAUUUAGUAUGGUAGAGAUUCACACGACCGGAACCGUAGAGAUUGCUGCAGCAAAUGCCUCUCGCACGUUUAGAGUCAAUGGGCACAGGUUAAAACAUUAUUUGGGCAUGAAAGAUGCGAAAGUAGUGUCGAUGACUCAUUUUCUCGAGCCAACAAGGUUAAGCGAGCCUUAAGUGCAAUUAUCCGCAUCGUGCCGCGACGUUAAAUCAGGUGCCUCAUGGGAGGCAACCCAUUGUAAUGUUCUAAUGUUGUAUUCGUCGUGCCACGACAUUAACUGAGGCGCUCGUUGGGAGGCAACCCAAUUUGUAGUUUAUUUUUAGUGUAGUUAGAAUUUUUCUUUUCAUUUUUAGGUACUUACAAGUUUGCAGGUGAUUUUGGGUGAGACGAGCAGAGCUUUAAGCGUCACAUAUUGGAAACUAGGAAACGUAGCUUGCAUUGCGAGGGGUAAGGCCAGGUAGAGCUGGCGUUUGAGCUCGCGCCACUAGAGGUGAAGCCAGGUGAACCAGGCUCUAAGGCUCGCGUCGCCAGAGGUGAGGCCAGGUACUUCGCGUGUCAGGCUCGUGCAGCAAGCCUCCAGGCUCGUGUUUGAGCUGGCGAGGCGAGGUAUUACGCGAGGUUAUGCACCAGGAGACUCCAGGUAAGUUUUUAUUUUCGGCCACUUUUAAUUUUUCUCCCUUAUUUUAUUCGAACCUCCUCACUUACACGCCCAAAGUACUGAACAAAAUACAAAAACCCUAACCUAACUUAGACCAAACACACAACAAAAGAAAAAAAUCUCAAACACCCUUCACCCUUCACCAGGUUUGCUCUCACCACUGCACAAUACUGCACAAAUCUCCCCUUGUCUCACCAGCAAUUUUCAGGCAACUCCUUCCCCUCAAAAGCUUCUAAGGUAUGAUUCUUCUCUCUUUCCCUUGCAAUUUUGAGUUGGGUAAAGGUAUGCAAUUACACGCGAAAUUUGGUGGUUGUUCUUCAUUGUAGUAUUGUGUUUCUGUGUCCUAACCCCAAGAACCCCAUAGGAAUGGUGCUGUGAUUGUAUGAACAUGUGGUAGUACGAAACUCCCAAGCCGAUUUGGGAGGGUGAGGCAAUCCUUCAUCCCUAUAAGCACUCCCAUGGCACUAGUUGCAUGCUAAGUGUUUGCUAUAAUGCCUCAAUGGCAUUCCUUGUCCCCAUUGGAUCCCGAGUCUCCGGGAUUAAUAGACUAGUGUUGUGUAGUCAUACACCACAUUAAAAUCUUAAGUGUGGGGUGGCUCACGGGUAGCCCAUGUGUUGUUGUUUGAUUCUAACGUUAAGAAAAUACGAGGUGAAGUCUGAGUAACCUCGGAAAGUUGGGCAAGACUAUGUGUGUAAUGUGUAAUACAAUUUUAACUGAUUAAUGAUUACUUGUGUAGGAACGAAGAUGCCUCCAAGAAAAGACACAAUAAAAGGAAAGACUACUUCCACUGCUCCGGCUAAAGCAAAGGCGACCUCCGCGCCUCCUCCAAAGAAGAGAAAAUGGGGAGAAGCUACCUCCAGUCUGAGUGGAGCACAAGAUGUGGCAGCUGUAGCAGCCAUACAUCCACAACCCCAAGGCCAACGGGAGUUUGGCAUCAACAGCAUACCCCCGCAUACUAAGGAUUGGUACAGGCGCUGUAGGCCUAAACAUGUACAACCGGAAGCAGCUAUCCAUGAACGCAGCUUGAAAGCAAAGUAUCAGGCAAUUUGGAGGGGCAUCCAGGAUUUGGGGUUGAACUAUGUAUUCAAGAACACAGGGGAUAUUAAUCUCAAUCUAGUCCGGGAAUUCUAUGCAGGGUUUUAUCCACUAGAUACUGAACAGCUGGUGCCGAUUCGUGGACGAUUGAUAGAGUUUUCAUCCACGGCCAUAUAUAACUUUUUAGGUGCUCCGGAUGUUCCUGUGGAGCCAUUGAACCACUUCAUUUGUCGGCCUACAUAUAGAGAGCUAUGACACACGCUUUGUGGUGUCGAUUCUACGGCAGCAUAGGUCAGGGAUAAGAAGACAAAUCGGCACAAGAGGUUCCCCAAGAAGAAGAUGAGGGUGGAGGCUCAAGUGUGGCUUACACUGAUAAAUGCAUGGCUCCUACCGUGCAAUCAUGAUACGCUCAUUAGUCGUGAAAGGACCUGUGCGCUCUAAUUCCUCAUGACAGGUCAAAGGGUGAAUGUGGGUCAUCUGAUCCGCUACCAGAUAUCUUUAGUCAGAACGAGUAAUAAGGUCGAUCGAAUGCCAUUUGCCAAUUUUUUAACUCAGUUCUUAAGACACGAGGAGGUUGCGGAGGAGCCAGAGUUUGACCACACCAUUGAUCAGCCCCUACGACAAACAGACAUCACUAGUCUCCGGCUGAAAGAAGAGAAUGCCAUGACAUCUUUGACAGGUGACGAGCGCAAUGCUCGUGAUGAUAGUUUUAUGGCCCAUCUCUAUGGGAUGAUGGAUUUGUAGCUGAGGAUAGGGGGUCGGCCGGCUACAUCUAAGGAGAGGACCUUAUUGGAGCAGUGGUACCCGCUCAAUGCUCAUGCCCAGCAGCUGGUUGGGAUAGGUGAUGGCUACAGACUUCUCGAUGAUGAGGAUAUCAACACACCUGAGUAGUCUGAGGCCGAGCUGGAACAGUCUGAUGAUGAGGACGAUGACGAUGAUGAGGAAGAAGCACAGGAUGAAGAGUGGAGAGCCUCAGAGGAUGAGGACGCAGUUUGAUCAGGGAGUUUCCUUGCACUCUACUCAUUUUUCUUGUUUUGUAAAUUUGUUCAUGCACUGAGGACAAUGCAUGAUCUAAGUGUGGGGUGGGGACUUGUAGAAAUUACUUGUAGUUGCUUGUUUUUGUUGUUUUAGUAAGUGUCUUUUUCGUUAGAUAAUUGUUUUAGUUAUUUGUUUUAGUGAUUUGGUUUCAGUGAUUUGUUCUGUUAUUUGUUGUAGUUAGAAUAUAUAUAUAUAUAUAUAUAUAUAUAUAUAUAUAGAACAACUGGACUAUUCCCACGAUGGAUCUCCUAGACAGUUUUCUUGAGGGAAGUAAGUCGAAGGAAAAAUACCAAAAAGAUUUUCUUGUAGGUAGUGUAGUAAGUCCCCCUUGGUUUUUCUUUUGGGCACGGUUCUUUUCGAGGGUUUAUUUUUUUAGUUGAACCGGGUGUAGUUAGUUUUAAUUUUUAGGAGUAGGAACUACGGAGCUAUGCAUUUAAUUAUAGCAAUAUCUCUUAGCUUUGUUAUGCCUUGAGAAUAGUUAGUACUAUGGUUGUGACGCCUAGGCUCGGUUUUUGACUCUAGCAUAAGUACCUUAAAUCGUAGAUUCCUAAUUUUGCUUAAUUGCUUUGACUAGAGUGUCGCGAUAAAACCAAUCCUGAGUGAGUUAUGUGUCAUGUCUGUGUGAGGUUUGGUAUAUAUUCUAUACAUUGCAUUUGAUGUCUAGAACUUUCUCCAUGUGUGUGCGAAGCAAAAUAGUAGUAUUGUUCAGUCUAGGAAGUGAUAUAGGCAACUUUGUUAAGCCAAAUAUAUAAAGUUUACCCACCUAAAUGUUAUGUAUCGUAGUUAACCCCGUUGAGCCGCUAAUCCUGUUUCUUUGGUAACCACGUUACAAGCCAUACCCCUUUGUUUUAAUAGAUCAUAUAAUUGAACCUUGUCACCUUUCAUGAGCACUUAUUGUGAUGAAUUAUGAAAAAGUUAAAGUGUGGGGUGGUGGGUUGGCUUUUGAGUGGAACAAUUGAAAUAAGGAGAAAGGUGCAUUGUUUUGAGAAAAAAAAGUUAUCAAUAAAAGCCACUUGAAGCAAAAACAAAUAGUGAGAAAAAAAUGAUAAUAGUUUAUUGUAUGAAAAAUAAGUCUUGAUGAUGGUGGCUAGUGAUAUACUCGUGUGCAUUAAAGUAUAUGUAUUAAAGUGCUUAAGGGAGGUGUAGUCGCUCAUAUCCAAAUGUAUCCUACCCGACCCGAAGCCUACAUUACAACCAAUGAAUGUCCUACUUGAUAUUNNNNNNNNNNNNNNNNNNNNNNNNNNNNNNNNNNNNNNNNNNNNNNNNNNNNNNNNNNUCGUUGACCUCUAUGUUAGAGUAAGUAAGUGAAUUGUGAAUAAGGCAUGGUAUUUGUGAGUCAAAUCUUGAGGGGAGGAUGCCACACCUUUGUGCUUAAACUAUUUUAAAGAUUCUUGGUAUAAUGAGUUGAGGGAAUUGCCUAAUAGGUUGUGUCUAUAAGUGUAGUUUGAUUGCUCGAGGAUGAGCAAUGUUUAAGUGUGGGGAAUUGAUGUGCGGCUAUAAUUCAUGGUUUAGCACACUAUUCACCUUACAUUUUAUAUGAUUUAAUGAUAAAUUAUACUUUAUUUGCUCGUAAUUAAGUCCAUUUUAUGUGUAGGCGAAUUGGAGAUGAAAGUAGAGCAAAAGGGAUACUUAAAAGUUGAAAGUGUGCUCGGGAGCAAUUGAAAAGGAGAAUCUGGUGAAGACAGGCCUACACCAGGCCUUAUACCUGGCGACGCCAGGCUUGUAGCUGGUGAGAGACCUGGCGAGGCGGGGCAGAAGGCGAGAUUAACCAGGCCUUAUACCUGGCAACGCCAGGCCUGGGGCGAGGUCCACCAGAUGUUAGGCCUCGCGAGGCCAGGUCUGGGCGUGCACAAUCCGAGUUUUGAAGACUUAUUUCGUCUCUGGGUUUGACUAGGACUUUUCCUAUAUGUUUAGGUCUUUUCCUACACAUAUAAAUAAACCUAAAAACGCCACUUUUGAGGACUUUUGCAACCGGAGGCAAGAAUAGCUUGUGGAAUCACUCUUUGGGAGUUAGAAUCAUCGAUUUUUACAUCCUUUCAUCUUUACUUUGUAAUUUAAUUAUUAAAAUUAUUUUGGAUAUUGUUACUAUGAGUAUGAGUAGCUAAAUUCCUAGUAUAAGGUUUUGAUGGAACCUAUUGAAGGAUGAUUUUCUUGUUACGUUAAUAUAAAUUUGCCGUAGUAUUUUCUCUAUUUGUUCAACUAUAUUAUUUAUGUGGUUGAUUGAAGGGCCCUCAAUUAGCUGUGCCUAUUUAGUAUUUAUUACUCGGGAGAGAGUGCAAUUUAGGUAGUUAUUGAACAACAUCACUUCUAUCGUAUAUGAGAGAUCAAUACGAAGGGUUUAAAGGUGGGAUUAGAGAUAACAAAACCUUGGUGCGAUCUGAGUGAGCCGUACUUAAUGCCAGCUAGAGUAAUUCGACAGAAUAUGUCUAGUAAAUUAUGGUAAUUACUCGGGAGAGAGUUACGACAGUCAUAGUACUCAUGAUCGAUAGAGAAGAAUUAGGCGAAUCUAUAGAAAACGUAGCGUACAAGAUUCCGACAAUAGGGGAAAUCAAAACCUUAGAUCAUUCCAAUUCUUGUUUACAAACCAUUUAUAGUUAGUUAUUUAUUAUUGCAUUUUCAUUACGUAAUAUUUAGUUAAUUAACUUCCAAAUUAUUAUUGAAAUAUUUCUGAAGAUUGAUUGCAUGAAUUUGUGCGAGUCUAGCAGUUGUGGUUGAUAGGUUAAUUUCCUAUGGGAUUCGACUCCGGACUUAUUAGCCGCAAUAUAUUUGCGACGACCGCAUAGUCCUUUUUAUAAGGCAUAGUUGGGCAUGAUCAAAUUUUGGCGUUGUUGCCGGGGAAUUAACGGUGUUAUUAAUUGCAGCUAAAAGAAGUGCUAAAAUUCUUAGUGUAGUCAAUUUUCUUCAUUCUAAAUCAAAUACAUUGAAAUUCUAACGUCUGUAGCCUUGGGUGCUACAGGUGCAUGCCUAGGAACUCCUCAAGAACUGGUGUACUGCUCGAAGCGUUAUCAGAUCCUAAGAAAGUUUUCAAGGCACUAAGUCGUGCAAACAAGAAAAGCAAACAGCAACAAAACUUGACAGAACAAAUCGAACUAGACAUGGAUGACAGAAUAGAAAAUCCAAUUAACAACAGAAACAAUGCGAAUGAACCAAACAAUUAGGGUGUGGUGCCUCUUGUACCAGAAGCAGCAUUAUAUGAUUGGGCACAACCCACCGUCAACAAUCUCGCAACCGCAAUUGUAGUCCCUCAAAUACAAGCGGAAUCAUUUCAAAUCACAAACAACAUACUACAUUUGUUGCAGAACAAGGGACUAUUCUCAGGUUCACACAUUGAAGAUCCUCAGCAUCAUCUGAAGAAUUUCCUGUCGAUAUGUGUCACGCAAAGGCAACCUAACGUGACACCAAAUGCAAUAAAGUCGUUAUUAUUCCUAUUCUCGGUGACAGGAGAAGCUCAGACUUGGCUUAAUUCACUUCCCAUAAACUCCAUCACUACUUGGGAGGAAUUAGUCAAGCAAUUUUUGAACAAAUUCUACCCACCCAAAAAACCUGCCAAACAGAUUGAUGAUAUAUUGAGCUACAGGCAGAGACCAACAAAAUCACUACAAGAAAUGUGGGAUAGGUUCAAGGGUAUGCUGGUUAUGUGUCCACAUCAUGGAAUUCCAGAUCAGAUGUUGGGACAGAGAUUCUAUAUGGGACUGGCUGACGGCUUAAAGGCCAAUGUUGAUGCUUCAGCAGGUGGAGGAUUUUUGAGUAAACCAUUCGGAGAAUGCAAGAUCCUACUUGAUAAGAUGGCCCAAAACUCAGGAUGGAUGACAAGAGCCUCUAUGAUCACUCCGGUAGUUCACUCAGUGGCUUUGGACCCAAACAACUCCAUAGCUGAGAGUAUGGCCACUCUAAUGACACAAAUGAGUAUCCUCACCAAGAAGAUUGAUGAAUCAGGUCAGAAGCAGCAGGUUCACAUAGUUGACGCAACUAAUGGGGGCUUAUGUACACCAUGCAUUAACCAACCAUAUGUUUGCUCAUGGAGUGCAGAAGGUGACAACCAGCACUAUCAGGAAGAUAUACAUUAUGUAGCCAACUAUGGGGGAUAGAGGAAAGGUGGUCAGAAAUGGGGUCAAUAGAAUCAACAAUAUAGACCAGCGCAGCAGCAGUACAAUAACAACAACAACCCUAGAACUAUGCGACCACUGGGUCAAGUUGUGCCUUACCAAAGGCAACAGGGUUACAACUAGCAAAAUCAGCAGCUGACUUAUCAACAACCUCAACAACAACAGAUUAUGAGACAAGAUGAUGGUUUUACUGAACUUAAGGGAAUGAUGGACAACAACAAUAGAAUGCUGCAACAACUGAUUGGGUCCACGGGAAAAAUGCAUCAGAGAGUAGACUCACAUGAAUCAGUGAUAAAGGGUAUUGAGAUUCAAUUAGGACAGAUUUCUAUGGCUCUAAACAAUCAUCCCCAAGGGACGUUACCUGCAGACACACAAGUCAAUCCAAAAGAAUAGGGCCUAAAACAGCUUAUGGCAGUGAGUCUACGAAAUGGUAGAGAAUCUGGAGCAAGAGAUGUCUCGCGAAAGCCGACCUACUGAUACACUUGUGCCAGUACCCAUUGAGAUAGAUGAUUCAACAGGGUUGACAGAGGUGACGGUACAACAUGCGCCAGCUAAAUCAAGCAAAGAAAAAGAGGUCUCGAAGGAAAAUGAGUCAGUGCAAGAAAAGGUAGUAGAAACAGUGCCAGAGCAGGUUUGGUGCCUCCGGGAUUUAGUAGCCCGAAUUGUCCGAACAUUUUUUGGACGACAGUCCCCGAGUGAGGUUAGCCCUUGGGAUCGAUAGUCCCCGAAUAGGGGUAGCCUGUGGGAUCUUAGGAUCCGAAAUUUAAGAGGCAAGAAAAUGUGUAAUAGCAAGGCAGAACUUUCUUUCAUUUUUGUGUGUAAAGUACAUGGUCGAAAAUUCGUAAAAUUUUGUGUCAUGGCUAAAAUGGACUAUGUGGGCACGGUUCACACAACUGUUUGUCCCUUACAAAUGAAUCCUAACCACCGAGCCUUGGCUUCUAGCAUACGAGGUUUUACUUUUUUCCUUGCUGAAAACCUUAAUCCGAGGGUAAUGGCUCCCAGUAUCUGAGGUCGAGCUUGAGAGGGCUCGGAUACUAUGGAUGUGAAAUGAACGCCCGUAGACUCCGAUAUGAGACCGGCCUUCGAAUCUAAGUUAGCACGUUUUACUGUUGCCUAGUUAAAAACCUUGUAGAAAAACCCAUUUUGGGACAAAAUCAGUUCAAGGAAAAAAGAGUGCAACACGUGCUUUCAGACCUAAUAGCCACAUCCAUUCUUGAGUGUUGCCUGCAAGUGUUAGUUCGAUUUAUAACAUAAUUACAGAGUAGUUGGGAUCGUACCUUAGCAUUAGUACCGUUUUAAGUGUGUCACGUUCUAAUUGUUCGGUAGUUGCACACUGUUUCUCGCCUCGAGUUUGUAUGAGCCUUUACUGGUUAUUCUGAUGACUCGAUACGAUCCUUCACAGUUCGAUCCCAGAUUUCCCUCGUUCGAGUUACGGGUGUGUAAUUUUACUUUCCUCAACAUCAGGUCCCCGAUCGUGAAGUGCCGGAGGUUGGCUCUUAGGUUGUAGUAUCUUUCUAUCUGUUGUUUUUGGGCGGUCAACAUGACUAAAGCUGCAUCACUCCUUUCAUUCAAUAAUUCUAGGCUCGUGACCAUGGCCUUUCCACUUGACUCUUCGGUUGCAUAUUGGAAUUUAAGGCUUGGCUCUCCCACCUCGACUGGUAUCAAGGCUUCGGCCCCGUAGACCAACAAAAAUGGAGUGGCCCCGGUACUGGACUUCGAGGUUGUACGAGAUGCCCAUAGGACUUCAGGCAAGAUUUAUUUCCAUUUCCCUUUGGUAUCGGUCAACCUCUUUUUUAGGUUUUGAAGUAUGGCCUUGUUUGUUGACUUUGCCUGUUCGUUCCCACUAGGGUGGUAAGGUGUUGAAAGUAUUGUAAUGACCUGGUCGUUCGUUCUGAGAGUUAUAGCCCUAUUUCCCCCAUCUAUGCUUAUUUAUGUGUUGUUCAGUUGUGUUGCAUUGUGUCGAGUUGGUAGGUUUGGGUUCGGAGUAGUUUUGGAGUGAAAUGAACACUUAGUCUCUUAGUUAGAAAGCUAAGUUAGAAAAGUCAACUGGAAGUUGACUUAUGAGUAAACAAAUUCGGAUUUAGAUUUUUAUGAUUCGAUUGGCUUCAUUGGGUGAUUUUAGACUUAGGAGUGUGUACGAAAUGUAAUUUGGAGGUCCGUGGUAGAAUUAGGCUUGAAUUGGCGAAAGUUGAAAGUUUAGAAGUUCUUAGGCUUGAAUCCGAGGUUGAUUUGGUGUUUCGGUGUUGUUUUGGGUGUUCCGAAGGUUCAACUAAGUUCGAGUAGUGAUAUAUGACUUGUUGGAAUUAUUGGUUGAGGUCUCGAGAGCCUCAGUGAGUUUCGGAUAGGUUUGGGUUGUGUUGCGCUCGUUUUUCUUAUGUUUCGACGUCGUUUCUUCAAGCAUAAAUGAUAUCAUAUUGAAUAAAUGAGCUUUGAUUUCUUUUUUUGAUUGAAGCAUUAGAUCCGUAUCGCAAUUAAGGACCCGUAGAAAAAAAAGAAUCGUUGAAUUUGGACAUCGUAUGAGGAUUUUGUGGUCAUUUUACUAAGAAUUGGGUUGCUAGAUUUUUAAAUUAAUUACGAAAUUGCCACUGACGGCGUAUUUAAAAAUCUGCACUAUUUGCAAAUAUUGAAACCAACAAUAUCUCAUUCAUUAUAAGGUCAAAUUGAGUGAUUCAAAAGUCCAACUUGAUUAGAAUUUCACAAGGUAAUCAUAUAAAAUGAGAGUUUGUUCAUUCGGUCAUAUUUUGAGUUGGGGAGCUUGGAUUUGGGCGAUUUGGGGGCGAUUUUCACCAUAUGGAUUGGGGUAAUUGUUCUCUACUCAAUUUUGGUUAUAUUUCAUGAAUCCAUCUUCGUUUUUGGGAUUUGAUUGAUGAUUUCAAAGUGAAAUUGAGGGAGUUAGGGUUUGAGUUUUGGAGAGUUUAAGUAAGGAUUUGAGGGACCAAAUAGAGUCCAAUUUUAAUUAAUUUUAUAUGGUUAGACUCGGGAGAGGAUGAGGUUUAUUAUUCUACCAUUUUGACUGAUUUCGAGACGUGGGCCCGGGGGCCAAAUUUUGGCCGGUUUCAGAUUUUUGGCAUAUUUUGUAGUUUUUAUUGUGGAAUUCGAUUCGUUAGCCUAUGUUGAUGGUAUUAAUCUGAUUAUGGUUAAAUUUGGAGCUUUUGGAGACCGAGUCUAGAGACGAGGGCAUCCUGGAGUAGGAUUUUACGCUAUUAAGGUAAGUAACAGUUUUAAAUCUGGCUUUGAGGGUAUAAACCUGGAGAAUUUGAUAUCGUGUGACUGUUUAGAGGUGAUACCCACGCUAGGUGACGGGUGUGUGGGUGUAUACCUCGAGGGAUUGCGACUUUGUCCGUCCCGUGAGGCCUCAUGGCCAUCAUCUGUGUUUACGUAGUUACUUGUUGUUGAACUUGUGUGCCUUCAUGUUAGAGAUCAUGCUUAGGCUUUAUUCAUGCUCACAUUAUUUGUACUCAGUCAUAGAAAUUACUGUACAUGUUUACCUCAGUCUCUAUUAUUUGCUAAUAUACUAUGAUACUUGAUGUGGGCUGUGUUCCCUUAUUUGUUGAUGAUGGUGAGGCUAGUGAGGUACAUGAUUGAGUGAGGCCGAGGACCUGGUUGUGAGGAUAUUAAUACCAUAGAGCGUGAGUUAUCCGCGUAGCAUGUGAGUUGACCGUGCGGAUCCAGGUAUUGAUAUGAUGGCACCUGAGUUGUCCGUGCUUAGCGCUUGGGCUUUGGAGCCCCUCCGAAGUCUGUACACACCCCCAAUGAGCGCAGAGUGUUGAGCGUUGAGUGAUGAGUGCGAGUGCUGAGUGAUGGAAUGACAUUACUGUGAGGUUGCAUUUACUUUUGUUGUUGCUGCAUUUACCUGUUAAUUUUUCUUGUAGUCUUACUGAUUUAUGAAAUUACCUGUCUACUCCUGUUUGUACUUAAUUGUGGAAAUAAUAAUUGGAUUAUUCUGCUUAGCUCGUCACUACUGCUCAGUUCCUUAGUUAUUUAAGUUUCUACUGAGNNNNNNNNNNNNNNNNNNNNNNNNNNNNNNNNNNNNNNNNNNNNNNNNNNNNNNNNNNNNNNNNNNNNNNNNNNNNNNNNNNNNNNNNNNNNNNNNNNNNNNNNNNNNNNNNNNNNNNNNNNNNNNNNNNNNCACUUUAUGUGCAGAUCCAGGUGAGUUAGAAGGCGGUGAUCGUUGAGUUCAGGCCGACUAUCUUUGGAGACUGCAAGGUAGCUGCUAGCGUCUGCAGGACCUUGUUACUCCUUUUGUCAUUUCUUCUUUUGGACAGUUAGACAGUUUAUAUAUCUUAGUUUAUAGUUUUAGACGCUCAUGACUUAGUGACACCCCGAUGCUUGGGGCUCGUUUUCGUAUUUUCUAUAAUUAUAUUUAGAUUUGAUUUAGUUUAUGAAAAAUUCAAAUGUUGGAAAUAUUUUAUUAAAUUCUUAUAAUCAAUUUAAUAGUAAUACUUUGGGAAAUAGGUUUGCCUUGUAACACAAUAGGCGCCAUCACGACCAUGGUUAGAUUUUGGGUCGUGACAAGUAUCUUUUUAAUUUUGUGAUUUUUAAAACAUUUGUUUACCUUGCUGCCGAUGAAUUGCUUCCCAUUUAUCCCAGACCUUUUUGAAUGCUUGGGCCUCGACCAUUUGGAAAAAUAGUCAGUCAUGAAUAGUACAAAUUAAGCUUUACCGCGUGUCCAUGGCAGGGGACCGACGAUGUCCAUCCCCUAUUUCAUAAAUGGUCAUGGGGACAGGACCGAGUGUAGUAGCUCCCCCGACUGAUGGAUCAUCGGUGCGUAUCUCUGGCAGCCGUCGCAUUUUCAUACAAAGUCUUUCACAUUCUUCUCCAUUUCGGUCCAAUAAUAGCCAGCCCUGAUUAAUUUCCGAACCAAAGAUUCUUCCCCCGAAUGGUCCCUGCAAGUGCCUUUGUGAACUUCUCUCAAGGCGUACUUGGUAUCUCCCAGCCCCAAGCAUCUAGCUAACGGGUCGUCGAAUGUUCUUCUGAACAAUGUCCCUUCGACCAAGCUAAAUCUGGCAGCCUUGGUACGUAGGGCUCUCGAUUCUUUACAAUCCGAGGGCAGUUUCCCAGUUUUCAAGUAGUCUAUGUACUUGUUCCUCCAAUCCCAUGUUAAACUCAUUGAGUUUACUUCGGCAUAACCUUCUUCUACCACAGACUUCAUAAGUUGUACGACUGUUCCUGAACUGAAUUCAUCAUCAUCAAUCAAUGACCCCAAGUUAGCCAGAGCAUCAGCCUCGCUAUUUAAUCUCGGGGCACGUGUUGCAGGGUCCAUUCCUUGAAUUGAUGUAGCAUUAACUGUAACUUGUCUAAAUACCUUCACAUUCAUUCCUUUUUUACUUCAAACGCCCCAUUGACUUGAUUUACCACAAGAAUGGAAUCACACUUAGCUUCGACCACCUCGGCCCCAAGGCUUUUAGCCAAUUCAAGACCUACAAUCAUGGCCUCAUACUCGGCCUCAUUGUUAGUCAAUUUCACAGUUCUAAUAGACUGUCUAACUACAUUUCUCGUAGGGGGAUUCAGCACGAUACCGAGCCUGGACCCAUUUGCGUUUGAGGCAUCGUCCGUAAAAAGGGUCCAAAUUCCCGAGGAAGUCCCCGAGGCUAACAAUAAUUCUCUUUCGAAUUCGGGCACUAAGGUCGGUGUAAAGUCGGCCACGAAGUCGGCCAAAAUUUGAGAUUUUAUGGCAGUUCAAGGUCGAUAUUCGAUACCGUACCCACUAAUUUUGACGGCCUAUUUGGCCAACAGACCCGAUAGCUUGGGCUUGUACAUGAUGUUCCUCAGUGGGUAAGAGGUUACGACACAUAUGGGGUGACAUUGAAAGUACGGUUUCAACUUUCUGGAGGCGCUUAGCAAAGCGAACGCCAAUUUUUCCAGAUGAGGAUACCUUGUUUCUGCCUCGCCAAGAGUCCUACUAACAUAGUAAAUGGGGAAUUGCGUGCCUUCCUCUUCCCGGACUAAGACUCCACUUACCGCCACCUCUGAAACCACCAAGUAAAGGUACAACUGUUUAUCCUCCUUCAAAGUAUGGAGUAGGGGGGACUCGAGAGUACUGUUUGAGUUCUUCCAAAGCUUGUUGGCAUUCUGGAUUCUAGGAAAAGUUAUUCUUCUUCUUUAAUAGUGAGAAGAAUCGAUGGCUUUUGUCCGAGGACCUCGAUAUGAAUCGGCCCAAGGCAGCUAUACGCUCGGUCAGCCUCUGAACGGCCUCGACGUUGUCCACCACGGUGAUGUCUUCUAUGGCUUUGAUUUUGUCGGGAUUGAUCUCGAUCCCUCGAUUGGAUACCAUGACCCCAAGGAAUUUUCCGGAUCCGACCCUGAAUGCGCACUUUUUUAGGUUCAGCAUCAUAUUAUAUUUCUUUAAUAUGUUGAAGGUUUUCUGCAAAUGUUUCAGAUGGUCCUCUACUCGCAUGGACUUGACUAUCAUGUCGUCAAUAUAAACUUCCAUUUAUUUUCCUAUAUGUUCUUCGAACAUAUAGUUUACUAGGCGUUAAUAGGUGGCACUGUCGUUCUUUAAUCCGAAUGGCAUUACAUUAUAACAAUAGGUGCCGAACUUAGCUAUAAAGGAAGUUUUUUCUUGAUCACCCGGGUCCAUCUGAAUUUGGUUGUACCCGGAUUAGGCAUCGAGAAAACUGAGUAUCUCGUACCCAUCCAUCGUGUCGAUCAUCCGAUUGAUGUUAGGCAAAGGAAUAGAAUCCUUAGGGCAUGCCUUGUUUAGAUCUUUAUAAUCUACACACAUUCAUAGAUUAUUUCCUUUUUUAGGUAUUACCACUACAUUGGCUAACCAGUCCGGGUACAUAACUUCCCGAAUGGAUCCUAUUUUAAGGAGUUUAGAUACCUCGUCCUUGAUAAAAGCGUGCUUGACUUCGAACUGCGGUCUCAUUUUCUGCUUAACCAGAUAGAACUUCGGGUCCAAACUCAGCUUAUGAGUGGUUACCUCGGGCAGGAUCCCUGUCAUGUCAAGAUGGGACCAAGGGAAACAAUCUAUGUUAGCUAUAAGAAAUUCAAUGAGUUUUUGCCUAAGCUCGGGAGUUAACCUCGUGCCCAGGUAUACCUUCCGGUCGGGCAGGUGUUAGAUCAAUAUGACUUGCUCCAGCUCCUCGACCGUCAAUUUAGUAGCAUUGGAAUCAUCGGGAGCAAUGAAUGACUUAGGAACUCCGUAAUCAUCCUCCAUGCGUACUCCUCGGUCUUCCUUCCUGGUCGGCUCUGUGUUCUUUGAUGUCGAGAUCACGGGCACUGGGAUCACCUCGUCGACCACGAACAUUUCUUUUGUGGCCGGUUACUCUCCAUAGAUCAUCUUAAUUCCUCCCGGCGUAGAUUACUUUAGUGCCUGGUGCAGUGUUAAGGGUACUUCCCUCAUAUUGUGAACCCAUGGCCUUCUAAAUAAGGCGUUAUACCUUAUGUCCCCUUCGAUCACGUAGAAUUUUGUAUCUUGAAUUGUCCUGGCAGUAUUCACUGGCAAGGUUAUUUCUCCCUUAGUAGUUUCGCAUGCCAUAUUAAAUCCAUUCAACACCCGGACCGCCGGUACUAUUUGAUCUUAUAACAUCAGCUCGACGACCCUCGAUCUGAUAAUGUUGGUCGAGCUUUCUGGAUCAAUCAACACACGUUUAACCCGAGAUUUGUUGAUAAGUACGGAUAUAAAAAGUGCAUAAUUAUGAGGUUAUACGAUGCCUUCAACAUCCUCGUCGCUGAACGAAUUAGUUCCCUCCGGAAUGUAAUCUUGGGUGCGCUUUUCCCUAGUAAUGGAUACUUUAGUGCACUAUAUCAUUGGUCUCUGGGGGACAUCAACCCCUCCAAUGAUCAUGUUGAUGGCGUGCUGAGGUUCUUUUUGUUCGGUGUGUUUGUUGGAGUCCCUGUUUCUGAAAUGGUUUUUGGCUCGAUCACUCAUAAAUUCUCAGAGAUGCUCGUUAUUGAAUAGCCGGGCGACCCCUUCUCUCAACUGUCGGCAGUCCUCGGUCAUGUGGCCAUGAGUGCCAUGAUAUUUACACAUCAGGUUAGGAUCCCUAUGGGUAGGGUCAGACUGUAAUGGUCGAGGCCACUUGGUUUCCUUGAUGCGCCCGAUGGCUGAUACGAUGCUGGCUGCAUUGACAUUGAAGUUAUACUCUGAUAAUCUUGAUGCUUCCCUUCCCCCGUGAGGCAUGUCAAAACCAUUUUGCCCAUCAGACCUCAGCUAUUGGGCCCUCGAUCGCCUCUCUUUUUAUUCCCUGUAGAGUUACGCCAAGACUCGUUCCCCUUCGAUCUGCAUUGUAUGGUUGGUACCGAUAUCAGACCGGCCUUGAUUCAUGAUCGACGACUCUCUUAGGCAUGUCGUCAGUUAUGAUGGGAUAAACGGACCCAGAAGGGGCUUUGAGUUGGUCGUCCUCGACUAUGAAUUUUGACUGGUACCUGUUGUGGACGUCGGCCCAAGUUACCGUCGGGUACUCUACCAAGUUUUCUUAAGCUGCUGCAAAGCCAAAGAGCUUCGGGGGUUAAGUCCCUGGGUGAAUGCCUGAAUGGCUCUAUCGUCCGUAGCAGGAGGUAAAUCCAUCUAUUCCAUUUGAAAUCUUAACACGAACUCCCUGAUCAUCUCGUUGUCCUUUUGCUUAACCUUGAAAAGAUCUGAUUUUCUGGUCUUGACCUUGAUGGCACCGACAUGAGCCUUUACAAAGGGAUCCGCGAGCAUAGGGAAUGAAUCAAUGGAAUUUGGGGGUAAGUUGUGGUACCAUAUCAUUGCUUCAUUUGACUAAGUUUCCCCAAACUUCUUUAAUAACACUGACUCGAUCUCGUCUCCUUCCAAGUCGUUACCUUUGAUGGCGUAUGUGUAGGAGGUCAUAUGCUCAUUCAGAUCUAUGGUUCCAUUCUAUUUUGGAAUAUCGGGCAUAUGAAACCUUUUCGGGAUUGGCGUUGGUGUCACUCUUGGAGUAAAGGUUUUUGGACAAAUAUUUUGGAGUUCGAGCCUUUUAAUAUCAGGGGUGCUCUUGGAAUUGGAUCGACCCGAUAAGUAUAUGUCUCCACCUUCUUAUCGUUAGCCUCAAUUUUCUUUUCACCUGACUCCACCCGUUUCGUUAAUGCUUCAAGCAUUUUUAUCACUUCGGGACUGACACCGAGCUCAGUUCCAGCCGGCCUUUCGGCUAUCUGCUCAUUUCUUUGGGUGAUUUCCCGGGAUGGUUCGGGCUCAACUCUGCUGGGGGUGCGGCUUUGAUUUUGCAGCUAUGCUAUCGCCGCCUAUUGAGGCUGCAACAUUUUGAAAAUCACUUGUAAGCCGACUCUGUUGCCUUCGCCUUCAGGCACUCCUUGAGCCGUUGGUCGGGCUCCUCCAAAAACGUUGUUCUCGGGGUCGAUAGGCAGGUUCGUGUAAUUGGCCACAUGCGAGUUAGCAUCGAUUGGAUGUGUAAUUGGAACUCUAUUGGGAUCAGCAAGGGACACCUCAUUGCUAAGUACCAGAUUGUUGUUUUCGCUAUGAUGGCCAGAUUCAGACUCGGCGUUUAAGUGAGCAAACUGAGGAUUUGAUAUUUUCAAACAGACAUGAAAUUGUGACCUUAAAGAACAAGUGUAAAAUAGAGUGUGCUAUGGAGAUUUGUAUCAAACCACCACUAUUAUCCUUAGCUCCACGGUGGGUGCCAAACUAUUUACCCUUAAAUUGGAUAAUAAUUGAAUUAAUACGUGGCUUUAAGGAUAAGUGGAUUGAUUCAACACAAGUAAUCAAGAAUGUUAGAUAAACGAAUUAAAGAUGAGAUAGAUAACCAAACCAGUUGUGACUUUGACUCCGGGCUCGGAUUUUAGCUUAACAAUAGUUUUGCCCUCAACUGAACUCUCGAUUCGAAGCCAAAUACGUAUGAAGAACUAUGAUUAAAAUAAGAACCUUUCAAUAGAUAGAAAGCAGAGAAAUAAUUUUAUAUUGCCUUGAUAUGCUUGUUACAAUGAGUAUUGAAUUAAAAAACUUCCCCUUUAUAUAGUAGGAGAAUUUCAUCCCUAAUACAACUCUAAAAAGGGUAAAACAAAUCCUCAUUGAUCAUGAAUUACUGAUAUGCUAUCGAUGUCGGGCGAUAUUCGCACCAUGAUAUUCGGUUGGAUGUGGAUAUCAUGAUUUUCUAUUAGUCGAGUGCAACCGUUCAUAGUGCUUUCCGAGGUUUAGGAGCUCGCUUUGGGUUCGGGGAUUGUUGUCUUACCAGGACCGGUGGCAAACACUCCAUUCAGCCCCUGGUACGAGAAGUCCCCGGCUUCGAUUCUGAUCCCAUACAUUCAUGUCUUCGCUUCGUUUAACCGACCGGGAAAUCGAGGUAUAUGUUACCCCCGGUUUUACCCGUAUACAAGUUGCAUAGAGUAUUCCUUCCUAGUUUCAUGUAACUAAUGAUCCAAUCUCCUUGACUAUUUUUGAUGACUCCGUCUAUUCCCCAAACCCUAGGAUUUCCUAAACAUGAUCCAUCAAUGUUAGUUUAAGGGAUUCCCUUUAAGGAGGGGUUCUAUUUCACAGAAAUUAUAAAGUUGUCCUGUUUUGCGAAGUGAUUACUGAUUGCAUGAUGAGCCACCACUGCCUUGGCAAUGGUAUUAUUCACUGAGGUUAAAUCAUGCCUGUUUUGACUAGUAGAGGACUAACAAGUUUAACCAACUUCCGAAGGACACAUUUGACUAAAUAACUCAUACAUUUAUUUUUAUAUUUUCAUAUUUCAUUUGACAAUUAUUGCAAAUUUAUAUGUGUAAAUUAAGGAUUUAGAUGAAAACAAAUAAUAUAGAUUAAUUACAACUACAGAUUGUUGAGAUGAAUAUGGUCUGUAGACAUCGAAAUUUUAGCGGAUCAAGCCCAUACAUAAUUUGGGCUAAAUCCUAAAUUCAAGACACUAAAAGACGACUCUUGAAAUUUUAGGAGUCUAUUAAGGUUACUUGGAGGCUACUCUACUAAAACCCUAACUUGGUGGAUACUCUACCCUAACCCUAGGCCACUCCUAUAAAAAGGGUUACAUAUUUUCUUAGAAAAGAAUCUCUCAAAAAUGGAGAUCAUCUCAGAAAUUUCAUAAACUCUCGGAAUAUGCACAAAACAUCAAAUACACAAUCUCUAAAAUUCCAUAAAACUCUUGGAAUAUUCAUUAAGAGAUCAAAACAUGUCAAAUAUAUCUUGCUCAAAGUUCUAGCAACAUUCAAGAUCCAAAUGGAGUGUUGCUACAUGCUUCUUGAUCAUCAAAUAUAUCAAUGAGAUGCAUAUCAUCCUACAUUUGAGAAAUACGCUGCUAAGGCCCUCGAAUUACGGAUAACAAAUCGGAGGAAAGAAUCCAGGGAUAAACAGAGUUAUAACCCUCAAUGUUUAUCAAUAAAAUUAUUUUUUCUUUAUAGUUGUUUGUGAUUGUAGUUUUAUCUUUCUGCACAAAUUUGUUGCAAACAAAUUGGCACACCCAAUAGGACCAGUUCUGCCCUUCAUAUCUUCCUCCCACAAAUCGAAAACUACAAGUUUCAAAAUCAUAUGUUGUGAUGGUCGAGUACUUCAAGUCUCGUCUUCGAGUUUUGGCAAACCUACACCCCGACAAACCUUGAAGUAGGGGGCAUUUGUAGACAUAAAAAUUUUAGCGGAUCAAGCUUAUACAAAAUCUGGACUAAAUCCUAAAUUCAAGACACUAAAAGACGACUCUUGAAAUUUUAGGAGUCUAUUAGGGUUGCUUGGUACUCUACCAAAACUCUAACUUGGUGGCUACUCUACUAUAACCCUAGGCCACUCCUAUAAAAAGGGUUACAUAUUCCCUUAGAAAAAUAUCUCUCGAAAAUGGAGAUCAUUUCAGCAAUUUCAUAAACUCUCGGAAUAUGCACAAAGAGAUCAAAUACACAAUCUCCGAAAUUUCAUAGAACUCUUGGAAUAUUCAUUAAGAUAUUAAAGACAUGUCAAAUAUGUCUUGCUCAAAGUUCUAGCAACAUUCAAGAUCCAAAUGGAGUGGUGCUACAUGAUUCUUGAUCAUCCAAUACAUCAAGGAGAUGUAUAUCAUCCUACGUUUGAGAAAUACUCCGCUAAGGCCCUCGAAUUACGGAUAACAAAUUGGAGAAAAGAAUCAAGGGAUAAACAGAGUUGUAACCCGCAAUGUUUAUCAAUAAAAUUAUUUUUUUUUAUAUUUAUUUGUGAUUGCAGUUUUAUCUUUCUGCACAAAUUUGUUGCACAAAUUAGUUCCAUUGCUGGGAUCUCCUUUUAUCUUUCUGCACAAAUUAGUUGCAAGCAAUUUGGCACGCCCAGAGGGACCAGUUCUGUCUUUUAUCUCUUCCUCCUGCAAAUCGAAAACUACAAGUUUCAAGAUUAUUUAUUGUGAUGGUCGAGUAUUUCAAGUCUCGUCUUUGAGUUUUGGCAAACUUACACCCCUACAAACCUUGAAAUAUGGGGCAUUUGUAGAAAUCAAAAUUUUAGCGGAUCAAGCCUAUACAAAAUUUGGGCUAAAUCCUAAAUUUAAAACACUAAAAGACGGCUCUUGAAAUUCUAGGAGUCUACUAGUGUUGCUUGGAGGCUACUCUACCAAAACCCUAACUUGGUGGCUACUCUACCCUAACCCUAAGCUACUCAUAUAAAAAGGGUUACAUAUUCCCUUAGAAAAGGAUCUCUCGAAAAUGGAGAUCAUCUCAGCAAUUCCAUAAACUCUCGAAAUAUGCACAAAGAGAUCAAAUACACAAUCUCCGAAAUUCCAUAAAACUCUUGGAAUAUUUAUUAAAAGAUCAAAACAUGUCGAAUAUGUCUUGCUCAAAGUUCUAGCAGCAUUCAAGAUCCAAAUGGAGUGUUGUUACAUGCUUCUUGAUCAUCAAAUACAUCAAGAGAUGCAUAUCAUCCUAUGUUUGAGAAAUACGCUGCUAAAUCCCUCGAAUUAUGGAUAAUAGAUCAGAGGGAAGAAUCAAGAGAUAAAUAGAGUUGUAACCCGUAAUGUUUAUCAAUAAAAUCAUUUUUUCUUUAUAGUUAUUUGUGAUUGCGAUUUUAUCUUUCUGCACAUUUGGUUCUGUUGUCGGGAUCUCCAUUUAUCUUUCUGCACAAAUUUGUUACACCAAAUUGGCACGCCCAGUGGAACCAGUUCUGCCCUUCAUCUCUUUCUCCCGCAAAUUAAAAACUACAAGUGUCAAAAUCAUCUGUUGUGAUGGUCGAGUACUUCAAGUCUCGUCUUCGAGUUUUGGCACAUGUACACCCCGACAAACCUUGAAGUAGGGGCAUUUGUAGACAUUAAAAUUUUAGCGGAUCAAGCCCAUACCAAAUUUGGGCUAAAUCCUAAAUGCAAGACACUAAAAGAUGACUCUUGAAAUUAGAGUCUAUUAGGGUUGCUUGAAGGCUACUCUAUCAAAACCCUAACUUGGUGGCUACUCUACCUUAACCCUAGGUCACUCAUAUUCCAUUAGAAAAGGAUCUCUAAAAAAUGGAGAUCAUCUCAGCAAUUCCAUAAAUUCUCGGAAUAUGCACAAAGAGAUCAAAUACACAAUCUUCGAAAUUCCAUAAAACUCUUGGAAUAUUCAUUAAAAGAUCAAAACAUGUCGAAUAUGUCUUGCUCAAAGUUCUAGCAGCAUUCAAGAUCCAAAUGGAGUGCUGCUACAUGCUUCUUGAUCAUCAAAUACAUCAAGAGAUGCAUAUUAUCCUACAUUUGAGAAAUACGCCGCUAAGGCCCUCGAAUUACGAUUAACAAAUCGGAGGGAAGAAUCAAGGGAUAAACAGAGUUAUAACUCGCAAUGUUUAUCCAUAAAAUCCUUUUUUCUUUUAUAGUUGUUUGUGAUUGUAGUUUUAUCUUUCUGCACAAAUUUGUUACAAACAUGGUCAUUUCAUCUUUAAUCAGAAGUAUUGGAUUUGAAUUAUGAGAAAGAAAAAAAAAACUAGAUAAAAUUCCCCGACAACCAUUUUUUAGUCCAUAUAAUGGAAAAUAGUCACUGUCACGAAGUAUCUGAAAUUUCACUUGUGAAAAUUAAAACUCAAUGACAAUGGCUGUUUCUCAAUUUAAAAGUUAAAAGGUGGCCAGCCGCACUAUUACUACGAAAAAUUCUUAGUAGGUAAAGCGCCCUCUUAGUAAGCCUUAUGUCGUGCACAUCCAAAUUUAUUGGGUCCAUGCAAAUAAUGAACACCUAAUAACUAGGGGCAUAUUUAGGUUAAGGGAUAUGUGCUCACGUGAACUUAUGCUCCUCUCCAUAAAUCAUGUAUAACUAUAUUAUGUAUCUUCAAAAUACUUAAAUAUAUGUGCAUGCACUUAAUUUUAAAGACUCAUGUAGUGCAAUAAUUAUUGGGUGCACAUCUACAAGUAAAAUUGGUGAUUUAAAUCACAUUCCGAACGGUCUUAUUUUUAAUACGGAGUAUAGAUAUAUACGUGGGAAUUCAAAAAUAAUAAAUUUUGAAUCUUUAUUUUUAGAAGUAUAAUGGGUUUAUGGUAAAAGUUUAAAGUUAAACCUGUCAAAUGUAGAACUAGAUUUACCUCUUCACAAUAAUGCACUCAUUCUCUUGAAAUCCUGAAUCCGCAUUUGCGAGUCACAAACUAAAAUAAAUGAUUACUAGAAUAUGUUAAACAAAUACUUUACUAAUAAUUAAAAUUACUAAAAAUCCUUUUUCAGAUGUGUAUAAAAAUUUUCAACAACAAAAAUAAUAUAGACCAUGUAAUAGUAGCUCUUUUUAAAAGGAUAGAAGAUGCUUGGCAACGCCAAUCCAUAAAUUUUUGUCAUGACGCAAACUACCACAAGCCUUUUCCUCUACUUUUUGAAGGAAUCUCUGUUUCUUUCUCAUUCAUACAUCCCAAUUGCUAGAUGACAAAAAGAGUUCCUUGUGACCCAACCAACUGCAAUUGCCACUAAAAUAACUUCUUGGGCUGUUGGCCACGUCAUUUUUCUUACUCAAAAUUAGGCAAAUAUCGGUAAGCCUUGAUGGCUGAUUUCAUGCCUUAGUUUCUCUCCAUUUUCCUUAUCCCACAAUCACCACACUACAAUAUUCCACGUAACAAUGAAACCCCUCCACCCUUCUCCUACCCAACCCAGAAAAAGGGAAUAAUAAUAGAAAGACACAAAAAUAUCUUGAGAAUGUCAUAAGUUCUAAAGUUUACUAGCAAAAUAGUUAAGUGCAAGUUUACCAAAAGAUUUCCUCGUAUGAAGGAGAGGAAGAACCCGCUCUAAAAAAUAUUAGUCACAAUUCGAACUAAAUUUAGUCUGCCGUGUAUUAUUUUUCCUUGAUUUGCAUUAGUACAAAAGUUUAUGAGUGAUAUUUAUUUUCUUAAGUUUUUUGCUUAACAUCAUUGGCAAAUUAAUCAAUUGACGCGUUUCCUGGUCGUAGGCAAGUUCUUCCUUCAAAAGUUCUUUAGAACAUAUUCAUAUUUUUAUAAGAAAGUUCUCCCAAAAUCACUCGCAUCAAAGGGGGAAUUAUGCCAAUUAUUUUUGAAUAUGAACAUACAAGAAGAAGAAAAAGAAGAAGCAACAUCACUGAGUGAAGUGGAAAUAAAUUUCCAUUAAGAAAGAAUAUGAAUCACAGUUACAGUUGCUUUUUCUCACUUGAAUUAGUAAUCAAUAAAAGCUUAAAACUUGCUAUUUCUCCCUAAUCGCCAAAUACAAAGUCUGAUCUCUUUAAAAUACGUACUACAGCCCUUCAGACCAUUCUGAUAACACCUGCUUCUUCUCUCUUGAAUGAAGAGCUCAAAUGCCCAAAAGGGUCAUACAAAAUAAGGCAUAAAAUUCCUUUCUUCUACAAUUGUUUAGUGUAAUUGAAAUAGAAAAUCUCU